This 71-nucleotide transfer RNA is filed under the name Parafronurus youi. RNAcentral's name for it is "tRNA-Val". The record is from RNAcentral. Lineage: Eukaryota; Metazoa; Arthropoda; Insecta; Ephemeroptera; Heptageniidae.
CAAAGUAGAGCUUGAUUAGUUAAGCGUCUUGUUUACACCAAGGGGAAGUUGUGCAAUUCAAUAUAUUUUGA